GAACGGGUGAGUAACACGUGAGUAACCUGCCCUUGACUUUGGGAUAACUUCAGGAAACUGGGGCUAAUACCGGAUAGGAGCUCCUGCUGCAUGGUGGGGGUUGGAAAGUUUCGGCGGUUGGGGAUGGACUCGCGGCUUAUCAGCUUGUUGGUGGGGUAGUGGCUUACCAAGGCUUUGACGGGUAGCCGGCCUGAGAGGGUGACCGGCCACAUUGGGACUGAGAUACGGCCCAG
This 233-nucleotide ribosomal RNA is filed under the name uncultured Actinomycetales bacterium. RNAcentral describes it as "partial 16S ribosomal RNA". It matches the Rfam family "Bacterial small subunit ribosomal RNA", at positions 100 to 334 of the family's 1533-position model. Lineage: Bacteria; Bacillati; Actinomycetota; Actinomycetes; Actinomycetales. The record is from RNAcentral.